GAGAAUCUUGUCCUAACAUGAGCAAGAUCGAAGGCCCGAUUAUUUAGAGACCGGAUGGGGGGAGAGGCCCUUGCAAUGGCCCUUACGUGCCACCACAGUCUUGUUAGGAAUAAGAGGAAAAUCUCAUCCUAACAUAAGCUGAAAUUAAUUAUGUCAGAAACAGGAGGAGAACCUCAUCCUGACACAAAUGAAGACCUGGUC
Molecule: long non-coding RNA, 201 nt
Filed under: Elaeis guineensis (African oil palm)
Lineage: Eukaryota; Viridiplantae; Streptophyta; Magnoliopsida; Arecales; Arecaceae
Description: long non-coding RNA (EGUI_LNC068748)
Source: RNAcentral